Molecule: ribosomal RNA, 1040 nt
Filed under: uncultured bacterium
Lineage: Bacteria
Description: bacterial SSU rRNA
Rfam family: Bacterial small subunit ribosomal RNA
Source: RNAcentral
AGAGUUUGAUCCUGGCUCAGGACGAACGCUGGCGGUGCGCUUAAUGCAUGCAAGUCGAACGGGCAAAGGGGCUUCGGCCUCGGCGCUAGUGGUAGACGGCUGAGUAACACGUAAGUGAUCUGCCCCGGAGAGGGGGAUAACCCGGAGAAAUCCGGCCUAAUACCCCAUACGUUCAUGUGGUUAUGGCCAUGUGAAGAAAGGUUUACGUCGCUCUGGGAGGAGCUUGCGGCCUAUCAGGUAGUUGGUGGGGUAAAGGCCUACCAAGCCGAAGACGGGUAACCGAUGUGAGAGCAUGAUCGGUCAGAGGGGGACUGAGACACGGCCCCCACUCCUACGGGAGGCAGCAGCAGGGAAUCUUGCGCAAUGGGCGAAAGCCUGACGCAGCGACACCGCGUGGGGGAAGAAGGCCUCAGGGUUGUAAACCCCUUUUCUGUGGGAAGAGAUAGGACGGUACCGCAGGAAUAAGCAUCGGCUAACUACGUGCCAGCAGCCGCGGUAAUACGUAGGAUGCAAGCGUUGUCCGGAUUUACUGGGCGUAAAGGGUGUGUAGGCGGCAUGGUAAGUCUCAUGUGAAAUCUCCCGGCUCAACUGGGAGGGGUCAUGGGAAACUGCCAAGCUUGAGGGCAGCAGAGGAAAGCGGAAUUCCGGGAGUAGUGGUGGAAUGCGUAGAUACCCGGAGGAACACCAGAGGCGAAGGCGGCUUUCUGGGCUGUGCCUGACGCUGAUACACGAAAGCGUGGGGAGCAAACCGGAUUAGAUACCCGGGUAGUCCACGCCCUAAACGAUGGAUACUAGAUAUAGGGGGUAUCGACCCCUCCUGUGUCGGAGUUAACGCGAUAAGUAUCCCGCCUGGGGAGUACGGCCGCAAGGCUAAAACUCAAAGGAAUUGACGGGUCCCCGCACAAGCGGCGGAGCGUGUGGUUUAAUUCGAUGAUAAGCGAAGAACCUUACCUGGGCUUGACAUGCAUUUGACAACCCAUGAAAAUGGGCUCUCCUUAGGGACAGAUGCACAGAUGUUGCAUGGCUGUCGUCAGCUCGUG